Molecule: non-coding RNA, 220 nt
Filed under: Bradyrhizobium sp. CIR18
Lineage: Bacteria; Pseudomonadati; Pseudomonadota; Alphaproteobacteria; Hyphomicrobiales; Nitrobacteraceae
Source: RNAcentral
GAAGUCCACUGCGAUGAAGGAGUAGCGAUCCACAUCGGCCCCGAGCCGUGCGCAGGCGUCCGCGAGGAUGUCGGCGAAGCGUCGGCAGGGAGCGCAUAGGCCAGCCAUCGAGCCGCGAAAGAAUGUUUUCCCGAGAGCCGACGCUGUCAACUGAGCGGAAGGCAACACGAAGGGGCGCGAUAUCGCGAGCGCCCGGUCGUCUCGGAGUGGUCACAGACCC